CAGAGUGUAGCUAAAAUAGCAUAGCAUCUCCCUUACACCGAGAAGAUACCUGUGCAAACCAGGUCACACUGA
RNAcentral lists this transfer RNA (72 nucleotides) under Gobionellus oceanicus (highfin goby). RNAcentral describes it as "tRNA-Val". It matches the Rfam family "tRNA". Rfam says of the family: Transfer RNA (tRNA) molecules are approximately 80 nucleotides in length. Their secondary structure includes four short double-helical elements and three loops (D, anti-codon, and T loops). Lineage: Eukaryota; Metazoa; Chordata; Actinopteri; Gobiiformes; Gobiidae. The record is from RNAcentral. RNAcentral also lists the same sequence under 1 other name.